This 253-nucleotide ribosomal RNA is filed under the name uncultured bacterium. Its description in RNAcentral is "partial 16S ribosomal RNA". It matches the Rfam family "Bacterial small subunit ribosomal RNA", at positions 524 to 776 of the family's 1533-position model. The record is from RNAcentral.
UACGUAGGGGGCUAGCGUUGUCCGGAAUAAUUGGGCGUAAGGGGCGUGUAGGCGGCCCGGUAAGUCCGCCGUAAAAGUCAAAGGCUCAACCUUUGAAUGUCAGUGGAUACUGCCGGGCUAGAGUCCGGAAGAGGCGAGUGGAACUCCUGGUGUAGCGGUGGAAUGCGCAGAUAUCAGGAAGAACACCAACGGCGAAGGCAGCUCGCUGGGACGGUACUGACGCUGAGACGCGAAAGCGUGGGGAGCGAACAGG